RNAcentral lists this transfer RNA (74 nucleotides) under Alphaproteobacteria bacterium. Its description in RNAcentral is "tRNA-Cys". It matches the Rfam family "tRNA". Rfam says of the family: Transfer RNA (tRNA) molecules are approximately 80 nucleotides in length. The record is from RNAcentral. Lineage: Bacteria; Pseudomonadati; Pseudomonadota; Alphaproteobacteria. RNAcentral also lists the same sequence under 2 other names.
GGCUCGGUGGCAGAGUGGUUAUGCAGCGGAUUGCAAAUCCGUCUACGGCGGUUCGAUUCCGUUCCGAGCCUCCA